Long non-coding RNA from Prunus avium (sweet cherry), 661 nucleotides. RefSeq lists it as uncharacterized. The record is from RefSeq and is a predicted model, not a curated record. NCBI's taxonomy places the organism in Eukaryota, Viridiplantae, Streptophyta, Magnoliopsida, Rosales, Rosaceae.
UUUGUAACCCAAUUGUCGUUUGGGCCAUCCCAUCUUACAAAAUCCGGAUCCAGACCCGAAAAUCAAACAGAAAGCACUCCCAUAGUCAGAAACCGCGUACCUAAAAGCGUGCACUUCGAAUUUCUCCGUCCUCCUCUCUCGAACCCGAGCUUACUCUCUCCGCUCCGGUUCAGAGGAACCACCAACAGCAAUCAAAAUGUGUCGAUACCAAGAUUGGGAAGAUGACCUACCAGAUAGUGAAGUUCAUGAUGAAUAUCCUGGCAGAGAUGCAGUGACUGCUUUUAUACGCCAAAUUGAACUACAAAUGAAUGAAAUUAGGGGAUUUUUGGACAACAUGAAAGCUGAUAGUUCCAAAAAGCCAAACAAAUUUUGGUCCGGAUUCUUGUCAGGCGCCUGUUUCACCAUACUGCUCAACUAUGUGAUCAAGUACGUAACUAGUAACUAGUAACUAGUAACUAGUUAGGGUUGAUUUUGUAUAGCAAUUUGACAUCCCAGACCUUAUUCAGGUUCAGUGCACUUCUAAUGGCGUUUGUGUUCAUUUCUAUUCAUGUUGUGAAGAAAGAAACUCCUGUGGUUGUGGAUGUUUUGACUUGUACAAUUUAUUUGGCUGCUUUAUGGCACCUAUCUCCCCUUUAAUGAAAUUGUGAAGCAUGCCAUAUUA